CCUACGGGUGGCAGCAGUGAGGAAUAUUGGUCAAUGGGCGAGAGCCUGAACCAGCCAAAUCGCGUGAAGGAUGACGGCCCUACGGGUUGUAAACUUCUUUUGUCAGGGAGCAAUUGGGUCCACGCGUGGGCUUAGCGAGAGUACCUGAAGAAAAAGCAUCGGCUAACUCCGUGCAAGCAGCCGCGGUCAUCCGGAGGAUGCGAGCGUUAUCCGGAUUUAUUGGGUUUAAAGGGUGCGUAGGCGGAAUAUCAAGUCAGCGGUAAAAAUUCGGGGCUCAACCCCGUCGUGCCGUUGAAACUGAUGUGCCUGAGUGGGCUAGAAGUAUGCGGAAUGCGUGGUGUAGCGGUGAAAUGCAUAGAUAUCACGCAGAACUCCGAUUGCGAAGGCAGCAUACCGGCGCCCAACUGACGCUGAAGCACGAAAGCGUGGGUAUCGAACAGGAUUAGAUACCCGGGUAGUC
RNAcentral lists this ribosomal RNA (460 nucleotides) under uncultured bacterium. RNAcentral's name for it is "partial 16S ribosomal RNA". It matches the Rfam family "Bacterial small subunit ribosomal RNA", at positions 338 to 795 of the family's 1533-position model. The record is from RNAcentral.